RNAcentral lists this ribosomal RNA (497 nucleotides) under uncultured bacterium. RNAcentral's name for it is "partial 16S ribosomal RNA". It matches the Rfam family "Bacterial small subunit ribosomal RNA", at positions 28 to 507 of the family's 1533-position model. The record is from RNAcentral.
GAUGAACGCUGGCGGCGUGCCUAAUACAUGCAAGUCGAGCGAACGGACGAUAAUCUUUCUUCUCUUUUGUUUUCGGCUGACGUGUGUUUAACACGUUUAUCACCUACCUAUUUUUCUUGUAUAACUUCGUGAAACCGGAUCUAAUACCGUCUAAUAUUUUGAACCGCAUUGUUCAAUAGUUAAAUACGUUCUUUCUUUCUCUUAUAGAUUGUUCCGCGCUGCAUUAUCUAGUUGGUAAGGUAACGGCUUACCAAGGCAACGAUGCAUAGCCGACCUGAGAGGGUGAUCGGCAACACUGGAAGUGAGACACGGACCAGAGUACUACGGGAGGAAGAAGUAGGGAAGAUGACGCAAUGGGCGAAAGCAUGACGGAGCAAAGCGGCGUGAGUGAUGAAGGAGUUCGGAUCGUAAAAAUAUGUUAUGAGGGAAGAAAAAAAGUGUAAGAAAAAGUGCACAGAAUGACGGUAAAAAAAAAGAAAGAAACGGCUAAAUACGUG